RNA transcript from Trachymyrmex septentrionalis, 2256 nucleotides. RefSeq lists it as uncharacterized. The transcript is spliced from 7 exons. The record is from RefSeq and is a predicted model, not a curated record. NCBI's taxonomy places the organism in Eukaryota, Metazoa, Arthropoda, Insecta, Hymenoptera, Formicidae.
CUAUAAGUAUCAUUCAAUACAUUUAUGACAUCACUCGUAUGCGUAUGCAUUGAUUAUCAUUGAUAUGAAUCACUGUAGACAAAAUGUACUAAAUGGCGAUGUCUCACACACACAGUGAAUACAAGUGAAGAUCAGUGAGGAAUUUUCGGAAAAUUAUAGUUUUCCGAGAAAUGUCGAAGUAAUCUAAAAGCGCUCGCGAAUGUAUGAUGCGCUCCGAAUAAUAAUAAUAAUAAUAAUAAUAAUAAUAAUAAUAAUAAUAAUAAUAAUAAUAUACAGAAUGCAAACGGCUCAUUUUUAUUGCCAUCUCAUUUGGGGUGUUUGGUGUUUCCUACAAGUUAUUGCCAACGACUAUGUUCAACUGUCACAUGAUGGACCAGUUGUACUGGGUGGGACAAUCACUUUUAGAGCAGAUGUAUACAGAGAUGGCAAACGACCAAAAGAAACUUUCAUAUACAUAUGGAAUGAUAAUUCAUUAAUGAAAUAUAAAUAUGAGAGCAAACAAACGUCAAAUACAACAACAUUUUGGAGCAUAAAUUAUCCACGUGAAAGCAACAUUACUGGAAACUAUACAGUGGAAUUAGAAGUCAAAUAUCUUCUCUAUUCAAUUUUUUGGGUAUUUUAUACAAGUGCUCGUAUCGAGUUUGAAAUUUCUGAAUCUCUUAAUGGUAAUAUAAUCAUAAGACAAGCUAAUAAAACCAUAGUGGGAGAAUAUAUCUCCUCUACAAAUGAAACCAAAUUAACGAUAGAUUUGCGAAAAGGAGAUUAUGACUUUAUAAUACAGAAAGCAACAGCGAUAUUGACAUAUUGGUUUAUUGACUGCAAGUAUUACGGUCAAACAAAUGAUUUUGCUUUUGUUUAUAACUUUACAAGUCCUGAUAUAACAUACGAAGUAGGAGCUUUAAUGAUCGUUUCAUACGACCCGCCAACAACCACAACCAUGGCACCUACAACUACAAUCGCACCUGUUAAUGUGACAACAGUUGCAUCCAAUAUUACUACUGCAAAUUUGAAUGGGCCUCUUGUCACAGUAAUAACAUUACCGAUAACUGUUACGAGUGUAAAACCUCCGAUGAAGUCUACAAUUGCACUUCCAAUUAAUACAAGCACAAUAGAACCUGCCAACAUAUCGUUGCCAUACAUUUGCUCAAAUACAUCUUUCAUUCCACCGGAUCCUAAGAAAACAUAUGGAUACUUUUACAAGAAAAUCCAUGUUCGUGCUCCCGUGUCAAAUAUCUCGGUGGAAGGUACGAAUUGGAUCCAACCAUGGGACAUGUUAUCUUUGAAUGUAACUUGCAAGGGAUCAGGUCCGUUUUCUAAGUGUCUUGAAUUUCACCGUGGAAAGUACAAUGCAACGGGAAAUGAAACGUGUAAUGACGUAGUUGACUUGCUCUCAUGCAAUUUUUCCAUUAUUCAUUAUUUUCUUGAGCCCGGUGUUUACACAAUAUUAAUCAUAUUAAACAACGAAGUUAGUACACAGAUUUAUCCACUAACGAUAAACAUUUAUAAAGUAACAACAAAACCGCAGUUAUCAGUUAUCAUAGUGCCAGUUUCUUGCUCAGUUGUUGCUGUGGUGCUGAUAGUAUUCGGCGUGGCGUAUUACAUCCAAAGUAGAGCGAGAUUCACGAUAGAAGUCGCGGACUUUGAUUUUGGACAAAGUAAUCCAGAGAUGGAGUACAAAACGUUUACGGAACGUUUACGAGAUUCAUUUAAUAACACUGUAAGACCUGGCAGCAAGCAGCUAAGCGUACGUUAUUACGGCAGCAUGAAUCAUUAAAAUAUACGGGCUGUGCAAAGCUAUGUGAUCUCUAUUGCCAUCUCUUUCUGUUGCUUUUUAAAUGUAGGAUAUAAACCACUCAGCAAUCCACAAACACUUCAGUGAUGCAUAAAAAUGAGAAAUAAUAGUUUUAAAAACGACACUGGAACAAAAGUUUCUGCAAGGAGUGAAAGAAAAUGAGUAAUGCGUUAUGCAAAAAUAUCCGUCGGCAAAAAUUUAACGACAUUACUAGUGAAGAGGUCUGUCGAAUGCUAUUGUGCGCUAAUAGAUACUGGAAAAUUUGAUUUAAAGAUAAAUUAUAAAAAGAAUGAGAAAGACAAUGUUGUAUGACAAUUUUUAACAUUAUCGAAUGAAAUCGAGAUUGUACAUAGAUGAAGAAAUUACAAUGUAUAUAUAGGCUGUGAAUAUAAUAUGUAAUGGUGUAUUUUUUUUAGAGUUGCUCUUAACAUGAAACACACAAGAGAAUUUGAUAUUUUUUUAAG